RNAcentral lists this ribosomal RNA (1530 nucleotides) under Salmonella enterica subsp. enterica. Its description in RNAcentral is "16S ribosomal RNA". It matches the Rfam family "Bacterial small subunit ribosomal RNA". The record is from RNAcentral. Lineage: Bacteria; Pseudomonadati; Pseudomonadota; Gammaproteobacteria; Enterobacterales; Enterobacteriaceae.
AGAGUUUGAUCAUGGCUCAGAUUGAACGCUGGCGGCAGGCCUAACACAUGCAAGUCGAACGGUAACAGGAAGCAGCUUGCUGCUUCGCUGACGAGUGGCGGACGGGUGAGUAAUGUCUGGGAAACUGCCUGAUGGAGGGGGAUAACUACUGGAAACGGUGGCUAAUACCGCAUAACGUCGCAAGACCAAAGAGGGGGACCUUCGGGCCUCUUGCCAUCAGAUGUGCCCAGAUGGGAUUAGCUUGUUGGUGAGGUAACGGCUCACCAAGGCGACGAUCCCUAGCUGGUCUGAGAGGAUGACCAGCCACACUGGAACUGAGACACGGUCCAGACUCCUACGGGAGGCAGCAGUGGGGAAUAUUGCACAAUGGGCGCAAGCCUGAUGCAGCCAUGCCGCGUGUAUGAAGAAGGCCUUCGGGUUGUAAAGUACUUUCAGCGGGGAGGAAGGUGUUGUGGUUAAUAACCGCAGCAAUUGACGUUACCCGCAGAAGAAGCACCGGCUAACUCCGUGCCAGCAGCCGCGGUAAUACGGAGGGUGCAAGCGUUAAUCGGAAUUACUGGGCGUAAAGCGCACGCAGGCGGUCUGUCAAGUCGGAUGUGAAAUCCCCGGGCUCAACCUGGGAACUGCAUUCGAAACUGGCAGGCUUGAGUCUUGUAGAGGGGGGUAGAAUUCCAGGUGUAGCGGUGAAAUGCGUAGAGAUCUGGAGGAAUACCGGUGGCGAAGGCGGCCCCCUGGACAAAGACUGACGCUCAGGUGCGAAAGCGUGGGGAGCAAACAGGAUUAGAUACCCUGGUAGUCCACGCCGUAAACGAUGUCUACUUGGAGGUUGUGCCCUUGAGGCGUGGCUUCCGGAGCUAACGCGUUAAGUAGACCGCCUGGGGAGUACGGCCGCAAGGUUAAAACUCAAAUGAAUUGACGGGGGCCCGCACAAGCGGUGGAGCAUGUGGUUUAAUUCGAUGCAACGCGAAGAACCUUACCUGGUCUUGACAUCCACGGAAGUUUUCAGAGAUGAGAAUGUGCCUUCGGGAACCGUGAGACAGGUGCUGCAUGGCUGUCGUCAGCUCGUGUUGUGAAAUGUUGGGUUAAGUCCCGCAACGAGCGCAACCCUUAUCCUUUGUUGCCAGCGGUUAGGCCGGGAACUCAAGGGAGACUGCCAGUGAUAAACUGGAGGAAGGUGGGGAUGACGUCAAGUCAUCAUGGCCCUUACGACCAGGGCUACACACGUGCUACAAUGGCGCAUACAAAGAGAAGCGACCUCGCGAGAGCAAGCGGACCUCAUAAAGUGCGUCGUAGUCCGGAUUGGAGUCUGCAACUCGACUCCAUGAAGUCGGAAUCGCUAGUAAUCGUGGAUCAGAAUGCCACGGUGAAUACGUUCCCGGGCCUUGUACACACCGCCCGUCACACCAUGGGAGUGGGUUGCAAAAGAAGUAGGUAGCUUAACCUUCGGGAGGGCGCUUACCACUUUGUGAUUCAUGACUGGGGUGAAGUCGUAACAAGGUAACCGUAGGGGAACCUGCGGUUGGAUCACCU